Molecule: ribosomal RNA, 445 nt
Filed under: uncultured bacterium
Lineage: Bacteria
Description: partial 16S ribosomal RNA
Rfam family: Bacterial small subunit ribosomal RNA
Source: RNAcentral
GUGAGGAAUAUUGCGCAAUGGAGGCAACUCUGACGCAGCCAUGCCGCGUGCAGGAAGAAGGCGCUACGCGUUGUAAACUGCUUUUAACCGGGAAGAAACCCCAGGACGUGUCCUGGGUUGACGGUACCGGAGGAAUAAGCACCGGCUAACUUCGUGCCAGCAGCCGCGGUAAUACGAAGGGUGCAAGCGUUAUCCGGAUUCAUUGGGUUUUAAGGGUGCGUAGGCGGAGCGUUAAGUCAGUGGUGAAAGCCUGCAGCGUAACUGUAGACUUGCCAUUGAUACUGGCGCUCUUGAGUGCGCUUGAAGUGGGCGGAAUGUGCCGUGUAGCGGUGAAAUGCUUAGAUAUGGCACAGAACACCAAUUGCGAAGGCAGCUCACUAAGGCGAUAAUGACGCUGAGGCACGAAAGCGUGGGGAUCGAACAGGAUUAGAAACCCCGGUAGUCC